RNAcentral lists this ribosomal RNA (537 nucleotides) under uncultured Acidobacteriota bacterium. Its description in RNAcentral is "bacterial SSU rRNA". It matches the Rfam family "Bacterial small subunit ribosomal RNA", at positions 13 to 529 of the family's 1533-position model. The record is from RNAcentral. Lineage: Bacteria; Pseudomonadati; Acidobacteriota.
UUGAUCCUGGCUCAGAAUCAACGCUGGCGGCGUGCCUAACACAUGCAAGUCGAACGCGAAAGCCCCGCAAGGGGUAAGUAGAGUGGCAAACGGGUGAGUUACACGUGGGUGACCUGCCUUCGAGUGGGGGAUAACGUCCCGAAAGGGACUCUAAUACCGCAUGAUAUCCUGCCUUUGGAAAGGUGGAGAUCAAAGCCGGUGAUCGCAAGACCUGGCGCUUGAAGAGGGGCCCGCGCCUGAUUAGCUAGUUGGUGGGGUAACGGCCUACCAAGGCGACGAUCAGUAUCCGGCCUGAGAGGUCGGACGGACACACUGGGACUGAGACACGGCCCAGACUCCUACGGGAGGCUGCAGUGGGGAAUUGUUCGCAAUGGGCGCAAGCCUGACGACGCAACGCCGUGUGGAGGACGAAGAUCUUCGGGUCGUAAACUCCUGUCGAGUGGGAAGAAUGGUUCGGGGAUGAAUAAUCCCCGGAAUUGACGGUACCACUAAAGGAAGCUCCGGCUAACUCCGUGCCAGCAGCCGCGGUAAUAAGGU